This 21-nucleotide microRNA is filed under the name Physcomitrium patens. RNAcentral describes it as "ppt-miR1069-5p". The record is from miRBase by way of RNAcentral. Lineage: Eukaryota; Viridiplantae; Streptophyta; Bryopsida; Funariales; Funariaceae.
UCUCAAGUCUUAUCAUUGGAU